GCGGAUAUGGCGGAAUUGGCAGACGCGCCAGAUUUAGGUUCUGGUGGGCAACCCCCGUGCAGGUUCAAGUCCUGUUAUCCGCACCA
Molecule: transfer RNA, 86 nt
Filed under: Eubacteriales bacterium
Lineage: Bacteria; Bacillati; Bacillota; Clostridia; Eubacteriales
Description: tRNA-Leu
Rfam family: tRNA
About the family: Transfer RNA (tRNA) molecules are approximately 80 nucleotides in length. Their secondary structure includes four short double-helical elements and three loops (D, anti-codon, and T loops).
Source: RNAcentral